Heterocephalus glaber (naked mole-rat) is the source of this 100-nucleotide small nuclear RNA. NCBI's taxonomy places the organism in Eukaryota, Metazoa, Chordata, Mammalia, Rodentia, Bathyergidae. The record is from Ensembl.
UUGCUUUGGCAGCACGUAUACUAAAAUUGAAAUGAUACAGAGAUUAGCAUGGCCCCUGUACAAGGAUGACAUGCAAAUUCGUGAAGCACUCCAUAUUUAA